GAUGAACGCUAGCUACAGGCUUAACACAUGCAAGUCGAGGGGCAGCAUGAACUUAGCUUGCUAAGUUUGAUGGCGACCGGCGCACGGGUGAGUAACACGUAUCCAACCUGCCGAUGACUCGGGGAUAGCCUUUCGAAAGAAAGAUUAAUACCCGAUGGCAUAAUUCUUCCGCAUGGUAGAACUAUUAAAGAAUUUCGGUCAUCGAUGGGGAUGCGUUCCAUUAGGUUGUUGGCGGGGUAACGGCCCACCAAGGCGACGAUGGAUAGGGGUUCUGAGAGGAAGGUCCCCCACAUUGGUACUGAGACACGGACCAAACUCCUACGGGAGGCAGCAGUGAGGAAUAUUGGUCAAUGGCCGAGAGGCUGAACCAGCCAAGUCGCGUGAAGGAAGAAGGAUCUAUGGUUUGUAAACUUCGUUUUAUAGGGGAAUAAAGUGAGGACGUGUCCUUUUUUGUAUGUACCCUAUGAUAAGCAUCGGCUAACUCCGUG
This 488-nucleotide ribosomal RNA is filed under the name uncultured bacterium. RNAcentral describes it as "bacterial SSU rRNA". It matches the Rfam family "Bacterial small subunit ribosomal RNA", at positions 28 to 507 of the family's 1533-position model. The record is from RNAcentral.